This 506-nucleotide ribosomal RNA is filed under the name uncultured bacterium. RNAcentral's name for it is "partial 16S ribosomal RNA". It matches the Rfam family "Bacterial small subunit ribosomal RNA", at positions 29 to 523 of the family's 1533-position model. The record is from RNAcentral.
AUUGAACGCUGGCGGCAGGCCUAACACAUGCAAGUCGGACGGUAGCACAGAGGAGCUUGCUCUUCGGGUGACGAGUGGCGGACGGGUGAGUAAUGUCUGGGGAUCUGCCCGAUAGAGGGGGAUAACCACUGGAAACGGUGGCUAAUACCGCAUAACGUCGCAAGACCAAAGAGGGGGACCUUCGGGCCUCUCACUAUCGGAUGAACCCAGAUGGGAUUAGCUAGUAGGCGGGGUAACGGCCCACCUAGGCGACGAUCCCUAGCUGGUCUGAGAGGAUGAACAGCCACAGUGGAACUGAGACACGGGCCAGACUCCUACGGGAGGCAGCAGUGGGGAAUAUUGCACAAAGGGCGCAAGCCUGAUGCAGCCAUGCCGCGUGUAUGAAGAAGGCCUUCGGGUUGUAAAGUACUUUCAGCGGGGAGGAAGGCGAUGUGGUUAAUAACCGCGUCGAUUGACGUUACCCGCAGAAGAAGCACCGGCUAACUCCGUGCCAGCAGCCGCCGUAA